GUUUUCUUUCAACUGGGUGAACAACAGCAACCGAAAAUCCCAAAUUAAAGAUCGGGUUGCCUUUCUGAGCAUCAGAAAUACUGCUAAAAUUUUAGCAGGCCUCUAACUUCCCUUCUCCCCACACGUACACACACUCACACUUUAAAUCAUUUGUUGUAGAAAUGUGUGCAAAAUAAUAGCUUGCUGGCUGCCGCAUUAGUAAUAUUCCUUUCUCUCUUUAAGUGUUCCAAGUAUCAUUUAGGCUUCCUGAGUUUCAAGCCAUUUGUUCCUUUAGAGCACUUAGAGCUCAAUAAAGCACCUUUAUCGUAAGCCAGCAUGAAACCGCUCCCUUCUGGGCUGGCGGUUUUUCAAAAACCAUACGUAUCUUCAUGUGAGAGCCACUGAACUACCGUGCACUUCGACAUUCCUGCUGGAAAACAAGCCUUGAAUUAAUGGCAAUGGAAUUCACCUGACAAGAAGAAAAGACUGACUUCAAAGAAAUAUUGGACGCAAACUUGGCUGAACAUUAAAGAGCUGCAAGGCAAAAGAAAACCCGGGAAAUGUUUUUACUUCGGUUGCCAGUGGUCUGUGAAUAGCAUCGCCAGGCACAGCAAUUUUUCACGAAUUAAAGGAUUCUCUAUUUUUUAUUUUAUUUCGGGCUUUGAGUGUCUUUCUGUUAUUUUGCACACCUUGUGCAUGAUCUGAAUUUAUUUUUUUUUAAAGGAACUCUACAAUUAGUGCCUACCUGCUGCUGUCAGUUAGCAGGUGAAUAGAACAUGGCUGCUUGUCAGAGUUGGCCAAAGAGGCUGGACACUAUAAACAAAUGCCUAUAUCAAAACACAGAGAUACAGCUCUCAGAUACUACUGUGGAAACACAAAGAACUUAACGUGGUAAAAUUUGCAGCCAAAGCCCUAUGAAAUGUGAGGUUCUGGCAGAGAGGGACACAGUCAUCU
RNAcentral lists this long non-coding RNA (933 nucleotides) under Pogona vitticeps (central bearded dragon). RNAcentral describes it as "lncRNA (ENSPVIG00000008254.1)". Lineage: Eukaryota; Metazoa; Chordata; Lepidosauria; Squamata; Agamidae. The record is from RNAcentral.